UUCUCGGGGCUUCCGGAGAGUCCGUUAACGGCUGCCUCUCUAACAGGCCCUGAGGACCUUGAACUUCAGUCAGAGCUGCUAGUGUGGCUUUGCCUCACCGCUAACGGUUCUAACGCCAUAGCGGGUCUGCUGGACAUUCACUUGCCUGGAAACUUCUAAAGUUUUUUUGAAGUAUCCAUCUGAGGUUUAUUUUCUCUGGGAAUAUAGUUCAUUUUGAAAAUCGUCAAAGAAACGAGGAAAAAUAACAGCAGAGGUCGGCUGAGGUAUGCAAGGUGAUUUUUCCUUAGAGAGCUCAAAGGCCGGAAGGCUUCAGUGAGAGGCUCUGUCUUGAGGCAGAAGAGGACAAAGAAGGUUUGAACCCGCAACCCUUGAGUCUCCUAACAGGGACUUUUUUUUUCUAUUUUUUUUUUGAUAGUCUGAUUUAUUAUUUUCAACUUUUCUUGAGGACUGCAGACACCACGAGGAGGUGCUGCUGUUGCAAGCAAUCACAGGACUCUGGAAUUAGACUCCUGAGAUCGCCGCUAGAACGGGCAGUGCUGAGAGUCCUCCAGCCAUAAAAGUGUCCUCUGUGACUCUAACCAAGCUGUGCGCCCUUCCCUUUAUCCUGCGUGGUUUCCUGGACAUUUGUCGAUAUUCUGGAGCUAAUCGGUCUCCCUCCAUAAAAACACAGAAAUAAACCCACAAAGCCUAAUUGCAGAAGAGAAUGCAGGGCCAUUUUAUUUUUAAGGAAAUGCUUGACUUUCUGGAAACCUACAGAACUGGGGAGGAAAACCCUGUUCUCCUGUAAUAAGAGCGAGGGGGCAGGCUGGAAACGCGCCUCCUCGAUUCUUCCUUCCUCUCUGUGUCCCAGGGAGGAGGUGUAACCGCUCUGAGGCCCCGCCCUGUGGCUUUAACCUGCAGCGCCAUUGUUGGGGCCCCAGUCACCUUCCUGACCUUUUAGGCUUCUACUACUGUCCCGUGUUUCAGAGACCUGGAGGCAAGUCAGCUGGGCAGUGAACCCAGACUGAUGGCACCCCGUCGUCUGCCCUCUCAUCUUCGCUUUUGGACCAGGACUAACCCGGAGAGGAAUGUGAGGGCGCUGCCUUGGGUCCCAGGAUAGAGGCAGAACUCCCCCACCCACCUGCGUGCUCGGGCCCACACUUAGUCACCAGAUCACCUGUGAGGAUCUACAACGCCACCAGAUUCCUGCUGUCUUCCCAGCUAGAUACCCAAACUCAAACUGAAACUUCUUGAGUGAGCUAAGGCGGCACUGCUACUGACUACAACCGAAGGCUUGGAGGAAAGGGCAGGAAAAGUGUGUAGUCUGGAAUGAAGCACAGUUGGAGAGCCCACCGUUGCAGCUCCUAUGGCACUGCCAUGAAAACAAGAAAGCCAAAGCACAGAUCUUGCGGUCCUCAGGCUCCCAGGCAGGAGAGGCAUCCUGACUGCUGGGACCCCAACUCCCUUUGACUUAUAUUUGGAUGCUGUGCGGCGGCCUCCUUGCAGAAUCUUCAUCGCUCUUCAGACUCUUAUCUUCUGUGCUUUCGUCACCCAUAUCAACACACAGAACUGCUUCCCCAGACUCACAGAAAGCCAACCUCAUCUGUCCUCUGGCUUAUGACUCUCCUGAGAGCUUCCAUGGUGAAGCCCUGUACUUCAUACCUUCCCAACCGUCCUUCCCAUCAGAAGCGUAGAAUCUGGACUCUCUAGCCUAAAGCCAAUGAGCUAUUUUCUCAAGUCAGCAAAUGGUCACAGAAUGCUUCCGACACUCUCCGCAUGGUGGAAGAUGUCUUAUCUCUAAAGUUCAAGGGGCAGGGGACGCUCUGUCAUGCCAUUUAUUUUUAAAGAUAUGUGCAUCCACGUGGGGAGGGUACCCAUGUGGAAGCAGUUGCGCACAUCCGUGCAUAGGCAGAGAGGCUAGAAGAGGGUGCUGGGUGCACACCACCACCACUCUCUGGCUGUUCCUCUAGGGCAGAGCAAGUCACAGCGAUCCUCCUGUCUCUAGCACACUCAGAGUGGGGUUUCAGAGCUGCAGGGGUACAGAUGCUGAAAUAAAAAAAAAAUCUAGUCCUUGUGACUGGCAUCGAGUGUUCUUAGCUACCAAGGCAUCUCUCCAGCCCCAUUUUUUUUCCCCAUUUGGAGACGGGUUUAUGUCUAGCCUCAGACCAGCUGAGGAUGAGCUCCCCUGUCUUCUCCUUCCAAGUGCUCAGGUGAUAGGUUUGUGUCACCACACCCAGUUUAUACAGUGCUGGGUACUGACCCAAGGGCUCUGUGCACGUUACUUAGGAAAGGGCAGGAAACCUGGCCCUGUGGUUUACACUAGCUUUGUGGGCCUUGCCCAGAGAGCCAGAUACCAAGUAGUAGAAGUUGCUUACUCAACCCUAACCAACCAAUGAAAUAAUAUACUUUGGGAAUAACCUA
This is a long non-coding RNA of Mastomys coucha (southern multimammate mouse), 2400 nucleotides long. RefSeq lists it as uncharacterized. Lineage: Eukaryota; Metazoa; Chordata; Mammalia; Rodentia; Muridae. The record is from RefSeq and is a predicted model, not a curated record. The transcript is spliced from 2 exons.